Molecule: ribosomal RNA, 403 nt
Filed under: Fusobacteriota bacterium
Lineage: Bacteria; Fusobacteriati; Fusobacteriota
Description: Fusobacteria bacterium partial 16S ribosomal RNA
Rfam family: Bacterial small subunit ribosomal RNA
Source: RNAcentral
UGGGGAAUAUUGCACAAUGGAGGGAACUCUGAUGCAGCGACGCCGCGGGAACGAAGAAGGCUUUCGAGUCGUAAAGUUCUUUUAUAUGGGAAGAUAAUGACGGUACCAUAAGAAAAAGCCCCGGCUAACUACGUGCCAGCAGCCGCGGUAAUACGUAGGGGGCUAGCGUUGUCCGGAAUCACUGGGCGUAAAGGGUUCGCAGGCGGAAAUGCAAGUCAGGUGUAAAAGGCAGUAGCUUAACUACUGUAAGCAUUUGAAACUGCAUAUCUUGAGAAGAGUAGAGGUAAGUGGAAUUUUUAGUGUAGCGGUGAAAUGCGUAGAUAUUAAAAAGAAUACCGGUGGCGAAGGCGACUUACUGGGCUCAUUCUGACGCUGAGGAACGAAAGCGUGGGUAGCAAACAGG